RNAcentral lists this ribosomal RNA (279 nucleotides) under Climacostomum virens. RNAcentral's name for it is "partial Eukaryotic large subunit ribosomal RNA". The record is from RNAcentral. Lineage: Eukaryota; Ciliophora; Heterotrichea; Heterotrichida; Climacostomidae.
UAUGCUGAGAUUGACGUAAAUAUUUGUUGGCGUCCCACUGGUCCAACUUGAAACGUGGACCAAGGAAUCAAAUAUGAGUGCAAGUAGUCGAAUAGAGAACUUCACUGCGCUACGAAAGGGAUGCUUGGGAAAUUUGAAGCAAAAGCUGUAUUAGUAUGAUGAGCAAGCAUGUUGAGACUCAAAGCAUGAUGAACUAUAAUGGGGUGAGGCGAAGCUUUGGGAACUUCGGUGAGGCUUGCAGAUACUGAUUAGUCCUUUCUACUUAUCUGAAUUUAGGGG